Long non-coding RNA from Myotis myotis, 421 nucleotides. RefSeq lists it as uncharacterized. Lineage: Eukaryota; Metazoa; Chordata; Mammalia; Chiroptera; Vespertilionidae. The transcript has 4 exons. The record is from RefSeq and is a predicted model, not a curated record.
UUCUUGCUGUUCCAACGAGCACGUCGGUGAGUCUCCUGUACACCUGCCGCUGUGUCCUCAAGCUUUCCUUCCCAUCCGACAGACCCCUGGAAGUGGAAUGGGUGGGUCAAAAGGCCUCAGCCUUUCUCAUUGUCUGCCGUGCUCAGAGGCGUGCUAUCCCGGAACGCUCUGCUCCCAACCACCAGGAUGGAAUCACAAGACUGCGGAGGGCGCAAGUUAACUGAGGAUACUCUGUCUGAGGCUGGCAUCGGUCCUAUGAGAACACCUCAGUUCCUCCUGAGAGAUUCCUGAGACUUCCAGGAGCUGAGGGCUCCCAGCUCAGUCAUCUCCCCCACCCACAACUCUGCAAGAAAGAUGUUAUUAUCCUUAUUGUAUAGGUGGGUCAUGUGACUGCAUUGGUGGAGUUGUCCCAUUUUACAGA